AAUCAACGCUGGCGGCGUGCCUAACACAUGCAAGUCGAACGCGAAAGGGGAGCAAUCCCUGAUUAGAGUGGCAAACGGGUGAGUAACACGUGGGUGACCUGCCUUCGAGUGGGGGAUAACCUUCCGAAAGGAGGGCUAAUACCGCAUGACAUACCGUGUUUGGAUACACGGAUAUCAAAGCCGGGGAUCGCAAGACCUGGCGCUUGGAGAGGGGCCCGCGUCCGAUUAGCUAGUUGGUGAGGUGACGGCUCACCAAGGCUCCGAUCGGUAUCCGGCCUGAGAGGGCGGACGGACACACUGGGAACUGAGACACGGGUCCAGACUCCUACGGGAGGCAGCAGUGGGGAAUUGUUCGCAAUGGGCGAAAGCCUGACGACGCAACGCCGCGUGGAGGAUGAAGAAUUUCGGUUCGUAAACUCCUUUCGACCGAGAUGAAUAUCCCGCGAUCUAAUAAGUCGCGGGACUGACAGUAUCGAGAGAAGAA
RNAcentral lists this ribosomal RNA (484 nucleotides) under uncultured bacterium. RNAcentral's name for it is "bacterial SSU rRNA". It matches the Rfam family "Bacterial small subunit ribosomal RNA", at positions 32 to 489 of the family's 1533-position model. The record is from RNAcentral.